This 1372-nucleotide long non-coding RNA is filed under the name Parus major (Great Tit). Its description in RNAcentral is "lncRNA (ENSPMJG00000004402.1)". The record is from RNAcentral. Lineage: Eukaryota; Metazoa; Chordata; Aves; Passeriformes; Paridae.
UCGGGAACGGGAACCAAACCGGGAUUGGCCCCGGGAGCCCCCUCGGAGCGGCCUCGAGCCGCUGCGGGAUGUGCUGGGGGCGGCUCGACCCCUCCGGGACCCUCCGGGACCCUCCCGGUUCCUCCCGGUUCCUCCCGGUCCCUCACGCCGCGCUCCCGCCGCGUUCCCGGAAGUGCCGCCCCUCCGCCCUCAGCCAAUCAGCAGCGGGAACAGCGCGCUCUGCUCCACGUGACUCACAAGCGCCGCGUUCAUUGGUUGAUACGCGUAGCGUCCCAGCCAAUCACCAGCGGGAAAAAAAGACUCGCAGUUGUCCCGCCCACUGGUGAUGGACGUGCGGCUCCAGCCAAUCAGCAGCGAGGAGGGCGUGGCCAUCGCGCUCAGACUCCGCCCCCCGCGCGGUUUUGGGGCGAAUUGCGGCGAUUUUGGGUCUGGCAAUGGCGGGGGCGCCGUUCAAUGGCUUUAUUGGGGGUCAUCGUCAAGGGGGAAACCCAGGCGGGGGUCGCAGGUGCCCCCAGGUCAGGGGUCAAUGUCCCAAAUGUCCCCCCGGGUCAGGGGUCACGGGGUGUCCCCAGGGGAGGGGUCCCGGUGUCCCCAGUGUCCCCAAUGUCCCCGAUGUCCCCAGAGGAGGGGUCCCGAUGUCCCCAGUGUCCCCCGGGGAGGGGUCCCGGUGUCCCCAGGGGAGGGGUCCCGGUGUCCCCAAUGUCCCCAAUGUCCCCCGGGGAGGGGUCCCGGUGUCCCGCUGUCCCCAUGGGAGGGGUCCCGGUAUCCCCAGGGGAGGGGUCCCGGUGUCCCCAAUGUCCCCCGGGGAGGGGUCCCGAUGUCCCCAAUGUCCCCAGGGGAGGGGUCCCGCUGUCCCCAAUGUCCCCGCUGUCCCCAUGGGAGGGGUCCCGAUGUCCCCGCUGUCCCCAUGGGAGGGGUCCCGGUAUCCCCAGGGGAGGGGUCCCGGUGUCCCCAAUGUCCCCAGGGGAGGGGUCCCGAUGUCCCCGAUGUCCCCAUGGGAGGGGUCCCGCUGUCCCGCUGUCCCCCAGGGAGGGGUCCCGGUGUCCCUAAUGUCCCCAGGGGAGGGGUCCCGGUGUCCCGCUGUCCCCAGGGGAAGGGUCCCGGUGUCCCCAUGUCCCCCGGGGAGGGGUCCCCGCGCCCCCCGGGCUCAGAGCUGCCGGGGGGGCAGCACCACGCGGUGCAGGACGCGCCCGGUGGCCUCCAGGAAGGUGACGGUGGCAGCGCCGGGCUCCAGGCGCAGGUGGGCGAAGCCCCCGGGGCUCGCGGGGCUCCCGAAGAAGAAGCGGAGGGAACCGGGGGGGACGGAGCCGAGGUGGGGCCGCGAAUCCUCCAUGAAAUUCCCGGCGCCGCUCAGGAUGUAGCCCACCCCCCC